AUACAUGGAUUCAAUUUGAAGUCUCCAGCCAACAGACUCUAUUGACCGAAGACUUGGGGGACUACAUUAUGUACCAUAUAUUGGGCCUCAACUGGGCCUCAUGAAAAAUAUUUGGGGGACUCUAGCCCAUCACUUAUGUAUUGAGGAGUGAGCCCUUAUUCUAUAAAAGGGAAUCCCUCACUUUCAUUAGAGAGCACCCAUUAUUCAUGUACUGAGGAGUGAACCCUUAUUCUAUAAAAGGGACUCCCUCACCAUCAUUAGAGAGCAUCAACUCUAGCCCAUCAUUCAUGUAUUUUGAGGAGCGAGCCCUUAUUCUAUAAAAGGGACUCCCUCACCUUCAAACGCCGCAAGUCGAGCUAACCAAGGCAACAUAAGCCACGAGCCGAGCAGCCUCACAGCAUGUGCUACUUCUAGUUGAGCAUCAUUUCAGAUUGGGCACCGCCUCAUAUCGAGCAUCAGUUACUUCGGCCCACACAUGGACUGAAUUUCAAGUCUCCAGCCAAAAGACUCUCUUGACUGAAGACUUGGGGGACUACUGUUUAUACCAUAUUUAGGGCCUCGUAUAUUUGGGCCUUGGGCCUUGUAUUUGGGCCUCACACUAAAGCCCAUACUUUGUAAAAGAGGAGGAGCCCCUUAUUCUAUAAAAGGGGACUCCUACCCUCAUUCUAGGGGAGGCCUCACUCUCACUCUCGAAGGCCAAUUCCUAGGCCUGAGAUCCCCUCUCUCAUCCUCAGAAGCUCUCAGAAGCUUUCACCCUCUUCCUCUCUAUUCCCUCAAAUAAAUAUACAAUCAGUGUGGACGUAGCCCAAACCUUGGGGUGAACCACGAUAACUCUUGUGUCAUUUACAUUUCAUGCAGAUUCACGGUCGGAUUUACGUUGUACCAAGACCAUCCGGUUUUGUGCAUCAACAUUUGGCGCCGUCUGUGGGAAUCGACACAAAAAGCUAUGUCGGUUCUCUUUCAUUUUUUUCAUCACCGCCAUGAAUCUGCAGAAACCAAGAACCCAAAUCUUUCCCAGAAAAUCCCCACAAACAACAAGCCACCAUGUUAUCUCCUCUCUUUUUCUCUCUCUAUUUGUUUCUGUAUCCUCAUAUAGAGAUCUGAUAAAUAGUGUUUGGUGGUGUAAAGAUACAAAUCGAACGGUCCAGAUCAACCCCAAACUUCUUCACCUCCGUGUGUUUCUGAAGCGCCAGAUAUCAACCCCAACCUUCUUCGUCCGACAAACUUAAAAAGCGGCAAAGCUUCAUCCCAGGGUCGCUGAUCGACCUAGCCCGAUCGCGGGGCAUCGAUCUCGUUCGGAUCGACACUAAGCACUCGCUGGCAGAUUGGGAAGCGUUCGAACCUGACGAAGAUGAUGAAUGGGUCAGGCCAUGGACCAGGUCCGCACUCUCGGGUCAUAGAUCGGGUCAUGAACCGGGUCAACGACGCCCGCCUGGAGAAAGCUCUGGCCGUCUGCGAGGACCUGUUUGAGGACACGAUCGAUCAGCUCAAUGAUUCGCCGACCUCCGCCGACAGCACUACAAGAAGCUUCAGUCACCAAAAGAUUGGGUGCGCAGAGAGAUUUUGUAUGUAUGUAAGCCACCCGUUGGUCCAUCCAGAAGAGGCCCCGCCCACGACUAAAGCGACAGCCCAGAACGCUCUCAGAGUGAGAAUAAAGGACGUCCAAGGCAUGCCUGGCACCCUCAGUGGGCUCGCCCUGCAUCUCUGCCACCACAACUCUCACGACCCGUUUGCAUUUCUCGGGUCUGAUGGGUUAAGACCUUCUCGAAAUGAUGCUGUCGAGACUACCAACAUCUGCCUUCUUCCACCUUACUUCAGUGUGCAAAAGAUGGAAAUCAGGUGCAUCUUCUCCCAGUUUUAAGCUUGCCUGCUCUCAGAUCCCAUUUCGGGAUCCAUGGUUUUUUAGAGUGUGAGAAAGCUGUAGUUAGUCAUCCUGAACCCCACGAUCUGAACUACCACCUACUACGCCGUCCGCCAUGGGGCCCACGCCAUCCUCACUCUCCUCCUCCUUGCUGAGAUCACGAGCGGCUGCCAGAACGCCUGGACCCUUACCUGGUUUCGAAGGGCCGGUUCGCCUACCGCAAACAAGCAUGUUUCCUUCUGAAAAAAAAGCUUUACAGAACAAAUGGACGCAAAUGAUAGUAUGGAAGUGGGAGAAAAGCAUGAGAAUGGUGGAAAUGUUGAAGAUGCAUUGCAAUCAACUGAUGAUCAUGCAACUGUAGCCAAUGAACAAGAGGAGGAAGUUUCUGAUUUUCCAUUAGAACGCUGCAUGAGGAUAGUCCCACAUGAUCAAAACGGAGGAGCUUUCUUUAUUGCUGUCUUCCACAAACAUUCUGCUUUGCCAGGAGCGAAGCAGCAAUUUCUCGAGGCAUUCAUCAACAAGAAAAGCAGAAAGCAGCUGUCACUUUGGCUGCAAUUAUUACCACGGAAAUAUCAGUGUUAAAACCAACUGGAGUCAUAAAAGCUAUGGAUACCAAGCAGCUGUCAUUUUAGAGAAAAGCAAGAAAAGCAAUGGCAAUUAAAAGGUUAAAGUCAGAUGGUCUCCAGGGCCAUAGAACAUGGGUGGACAGAGAAUGAGCAGAAAGAGAAAGCAAAAGCAAAAGAUUAUUCCCUUGUCUGUCAUCUGCCAAAAGAAAGAAAAAUAAAGAGAAAGCAAAAAACAAAAGCAAAAGAGAAAAGCAAAAGAUUUUUCUAUUAUUAUGAUUUCUUACCAGGUGAAGAUAUAGAGAGAGGGCAGCAGAAAAACACUGCAAAAGCAAGGAAUAAACACCUCACCCGAAUGAUGUAAUUUAUUAUCUUUCGGAGACAUCUGUAUAAACCCCAUCAGAGGGUAAUAUGUAUAAACCCCAUCAGAGGGUAAUAUGUAUAAACCCCAUCAGAGGGUCAAAAAAAAAAAAAAAAAAAAAAAAAAAAAAAAAAAAAAAAAAAAAAAAAAAAAAAGGAAAAGCCCAAAACAAAUGGCUGACAUGUUGUGGAGGGCAAAGGCCCAUAGGCCUGAAAUAGCACCAACCAGGUCAUCAAAAGUACGCCCAGUACUCCGCAAUUAUUCGGCAACCCGCCGUUAUUACCACCAACCAGGUGAUCAAAAGUACACCCAGUACUCCACAAUUAUUCGGCAACUCGCCGCUAUUACCACCAACCAGGUGAUCAAAAGUACGCCCAGUACUUCAAGUCAUACAUGAGCAUUACUCAUGUCAAUCAUACAUAAACAUUCAUGAGCAUCACUCAUCCAAUCAUACAUAAACAUUCAUGAGCAUCACUCAUGUUAACAUUCAUGAGCAUCACUCAUGUUAACAUCCAUGAGCAUCACUCAUGUCAAUCAACAUAAACAUUCAUGAGCAUCAUUCAUGUCAAUCAGCUUCAAAGACUUCAUUUACAGAGCUCUAGCUUCAAAGACUUCAUUUACAAGAGCUCUAGCUUCAAAAGCUUCAUUUACAAGAGCUCUAGCUUCAAAAGCUUCAUUUACAGAGCUCUAGCUUCAACAGCUUCAUUUACAAGAGCUCUAGCUUCAAAGACUUCAUUUACAGAGCUAUAGCUUCAAAGCUUCACUUGCAAAGCUUCACUUACAAAGCUUCAGUGCAUGGUCUACAAAGACCGCCUCCGAACAACCGCCACUUCGGCCCAUACAUGGAUUCAAUUUGAAGUCUCCAGCCAACAGACUCUAUUGACCGAAGACUUGGGGGACUACAUUAUGUACCAUAUAUUGGGCCUCAACUGGGCCUCAUGAAAAAUAUUUGGGGGACUCUAGCCCAUCACUUAUGUAUUGAGGAGUGAGCCCUUAUUCUAUAAAAGGGAAUCCCUCACUUUCAUUAGAGAGCACCCAUUAUUCAUGUACUGAGGAGUGAACCCUUAUUCUAUAAAAGGGACUCCCUCACCAUCAUUAGAGAGCAUCAACUCUAGCCCAUCAUUCAUGUAUUGAGGAGCGAGCCCUUAUUCUAUAAAAGGGACUCCCUCACCUUCAAACGCCGCAAGUCGAGCUAACCAAGGCAACAUAAGCCACGAGCCGAGCAGCCUCACAGCAUGUGCUACUUCUAGUUGAGCAUCAUUUCAGAUUGGGCACCGCCUCUCAUAUCGAGCAUCAGUUACUUCGGCCCACACAUGGACUGAAUUUCAAGUCUCCAGCCAAAAGACUCUCUUGACUGAAGACUUGGGGGACUACUGUUUAUACCAUAUUUAGGGCCUCGUAUAUUUGGGCCUUGGGCCUUGUAUUUGGGCCUCACACUAAAGCCCAUACUUUGUAAAAGAGGAGGAGCCCCUUAUUCUAUAAAAGGGGACUCCUACCCUCAUUCUAGGGGAGGCCUCACUCUCACUCUCGGAGGCCAAUUCCUAGGCCUGAGAUCCCCUCUCUCAUCCUCAGAAGCUCUCAGAAGCUUUCACCCUCUUCCUCUCUAUUCCCUCAAAUAAAUAUACAAUCAGUGUGGACGUAGCCCAAACCUUGGGGUGAACCACGAUAACUCUUGUGUCAUUUACAUUUCAUGCAGAUUCACGGUCGGAUUUACGUUGUACCAAGACCAUCCGGUUUUGUGCAUCAACAGA
RNAcentral lists this long non-coding RNA (4536 nucleotides) under Malus domestica (apple). RNAcentral's name for it is "long non-coding RNA (MDOM_LNC019181)". Lineage: Eukaryota; Viridiplantae; Streptophyta; Magnoliopsida; Rosales; Rosaceae. The record is from RNAcentral.